This is a long non-coding RNA of Ornithodoros turicata, 257 nucleotides long. RefSeq lists it as uncharacterized. The transcript is spliced from 3 exons. The record is from RefSeq and is a predicted model, not a curated record. NCBI's taxonomy places the organism in Eukaryota, Metazoa, Arthropoda, Arachnida, Ixodida, Argasidae.
UCUCGCGUGUUCCGUAACUUUUGUCGGCACCAGUACGCGUGUGUGUUUGCCGCCCAAGCACAGGCUGUUUUCUUCGUGCAUCACUACUGCUGCUAUCAGCAGAGACCAGGAAGGCGACCAACAACACGGGGUCCAAAGUCGUCGAGAAAGCUUACCUAAGAUGGCGCUGGUACGGUCGCAUCACCCACUUGAAGGAACUCCACACCAGCAACUUGUCUACUAGGACACAUGCUCACUACGACCUCCGAUGGUGAAAC